AUUGAACGCUGGCGGCAUGCUUUACACAUGCAAGUCGGACGGCAGCACAGAGAAGCUUGCUUCUUGGGUGGCGAGUGGCGAACGGGUGAGUAAUAUAUCGGAACGUACCGAGUAAUGGGGGAUAACUAAUCGAAAGAUUAGCUAAUACCGCAUAUUCUCUGAGGAGGAAAGCAGGGGACCUUCGGGCCUUGCGUUAUUCGAGCGGCCGAUAUCUGAUUAGCUAGUUGGUGGGGUAAAGGCCUACCAAGGCGACGAUCAGUAGCGGGUCUGAGAGGAUGAUCCGCCACACUGGGACUGAGACACGGCCCAGACUCCUACGGGAGGCAGCAGUGGGGAAUUUUGGACAAUGGGCGCAAGCCUGAUCCAGCCAUGCCGCGUGUCUGAAGAAGGCCUUCGGGUUGUAAAGGACUUUUGUCAGGGAAGAAAAGGUUGUUGCUAAUAUCGACAGCUGAUGACGGUACCUGAAGAAUAAGCACCGGCUAACUACGUG
This 490-nucleotide ribosomal RNA is filed under the name uncultured bacterium. RNAcentral describes it as "partial 16S ribosomal RNA". It matches the Rfam family "Bacterial small subunit ribosomal RNA", at positions 30 to 507 of the family's 1533-position model. The record is from RNAcentral.